GCCAGAGACACUGGAAAGGAGUAACUGUUGCUGAAACUUCAUGAAUAUGGAGUCAAGAAUUUAUGAGGUUUCGAAGCUUUUUAAAAGAAACCACUCCAUUGUUUCCUGGAUCACAUCAUUUCUGAUGAGAAUUCUGCUGUAAAUUUUUAAUCCAUGUUCCACGCUUCCCUGGAGCUUUCUGACCAGCAUAGUUGGUGACCCUUCCAGCUGCAUUGAUAGAGGUCCAGGAUUCAGGGCUCAGGUGAACAUCACAGGAAAAUCUACUUUACAAAGAGGGGGUGACAUGAAAUGGGACUUCAGUCAUCAUCCUCCCUGGGUCCCACCAUAUAGUUGACAAACUAUUAUCCCAGCCAAACAUUUUUGAUUCAGUCCUAAUUCAAGAGGCCUCUUGUCCUUCAAUAUUUGAAGAGAUCCACUAAGUCAAAUGGAUCCACUUUAGUAACAGUUGAUUUGGAUACUACUGGAUUACCUGCUGCUCUGAAUAAGGUGGUCCCCUGAGAUGCUGGUUGGUUACUCUGUUGGGACAGCCCACCUGCUCAUAGGACAUCUGUCUGGAUAUCCCAUCCCUACCCAGCAUGCAUUCAGGCAAGACAUUUUCUAGUGGAGGAACCCCAGCACAUCUCCUAAAGCAGCAGGAGUGAGCCACAAUGAAGAAGGAACUAGAGCCACACUGACUAGCCAUUCAAGGUGGCGGCAGCUAUGUGUGGGCAUGGAUUGGAAGUAGUGGCUCUUCUUCAGGCAGCAGCUUUUAGGUGAAAGUAUCCUGUGCACCAGGCUUGGUGGUCAGCAGCUGAGCUCAGGGUUGAGGGCUGGAUAAGGAGCUGCCUGCCUGCACUUAGAGACCCCGGAGCUGUGCUCAGGAGCACAGUAUGGGAUUCAGCCAGGAGGACCGGAGCCCCUGGACCCAGAACUUGCAAUGCGAAGUGCAGCAUGAUUCCAAAUUGCAUCCAUUGCUGGUGAUGGAAAACGUUUAAAUCAAGAGCAGCCUGGCUGUUCAUCAUAUCUCAGGACUCAGACUGUUCCAAGCUUAAUCUUGACAAAUACACCCAGGUCGGGGAAAGAGACGUGAUGGAUCCUUCAUCAUUCCUGAUGCAAGUUUCAGGCUUCCCUUCUGCUCAUACUUCAUUGACCAAAGCAAGUCACACAACCUCUUCUGACUUCAGGGGGAGAAGUACACCCCACGCUCGUGCCUGCAGGAGAUGUGAAAUGUCCAUGAACGGCCCUAAUCCAUUCUAUGCAUUGCCUUGGUUUAUAGGUUCAUUGUCCUUUUUAGUUCAUUGUGAGCUCAUACAAAACAGGAAUAAACUCCUUCUACAUAA
Molecule: long non-coding RNA, 1319 nt
Organism: Marmota flaviventris (yellow-bellied marmot)
Lineage: Eukaryota; Metazoa; Chordata; Mammalia; Rodentia; Sciuridae
Source: RefSeq, a predicted model, not a curated record